Molecule: unclassified non-coding RNA, 339 nt
Filed under: soil metagenome
Description: partial contains 5.8S ribosomal RNA, internal transcribed spacer 2, and large subunit ribosomal RNA
Rfam family: 5.8S ribosomal RNA (bases 1-120)
Source: RNAcentral
GAUGAAGAACGUAGCGAAAUGCGAUACGUAGUGUGAAUUGCAGAAUUCAGUGAAUCAUCGAAUCUUUGAACGCACAUUGCACUUCUCGGUAUUCCGGGAGGUAUGCCUGUUCGAGCGUCAUUUGUACCCUCAAGCUCUGCUUGGUGUUGGGUGUUUGUUCCGCCUCUGUGUGUGAACUCGCCUCAAAACAAUUGGCAGCCGGCGUACUUGUUUCGGAGCGCAGCACAUUUUGCGAUCCAGAUCAACGUACAGCGGCAUCCAAGAAGCCUUAUUUAACGCUCUUGACCUCGGAUCAGGUAGGGAUACCCGCUGAACUUAAGCAUAUCAAUAAGCGGAGGA